This is a long non-coding RNA of Lycium ferocissimum, 666 nucleotides long. RefSeq lists it as uncharacterized. The transcript is spliced from 4 exons. The record is from RefSeq and is a predicted model, not a curated record. NCBI's taxonomy places the organism in Eukaryota, Viridiplantae, Streptophyta, Magnoliopsida, Solanales, Solanaceae.
UAUCCGUCACCAAUUCCGUCACCAUGAUGAUUUAAAUUUAUUUCCUAGGGUACAAAACUCUGAUAGCAUCGCCUCUCUUCUACAAUAGAAAAACUCACAGAGGAAGCCAGCAAAAUUGUCGUUUGAGGGGAAAGAGAGUUCAAGGGCACAAACCUAAUCUAGAUAUACAGUAAAAAAUGGCGUAUUCAACACAAAAUCUUAAUAUUUUCGGCGACCGCCAGUCCGUUAGGAUGUUCACCCAAAAUGAAACUCUUAAGGCUUUUGGAGAUGUUGAGGUUUUGAAUGAUCGCCUUUCAUACCUGGAUCUUGGGUCCAUUCAAGGACAAAGCUCAAGAAUUGUUAGAGCAACAAUGGUCACAACAAUUAUAGUAGUAUGAGAUGGAUGUUACAACUCGGAUGUAUUACGAGACAGUGGUAGGAAUGAUGAAGAGAAAAGCUUAUGGCCUUGGGUCAAGGGAAACACGAUUAUGGCCUCGGGUUCUACUUUUGAUCUUGAUGAACAUCACUCUCAAGCACUACAUUAGUUAGUUGUGGCUUUUAGACUCUAUUCUAUUAGUUGAAGAACAAUUAUGAACAUUGAUUCCUAUACUACCUGAUCACAUGCUUCCUGUAAUUAUACUUUUUGGAUUCUGCUAUCCGUUUUGAACCUUCUAUAAAUAUUAUUUG